Molecule: unclassified non-coding RNA, 152 nt
Filed under: uncultured Ascomycota
Lineage: Eukaryota; Fungi; Ascomycota
Description: sequence contains ITS2
Source: RNAcentral
ACAACUCAUUCCAACAACUUUUUUGUUGGAGUGGAAUUUGAGCUUGCGUUGGCUGGCUCGAAAUGUAUGGUGGUGUGAAGACCUGCCGAGUUUAACGUCAUAUCAUUUUCGCUAGACUUUUGGCAGCCAUCUGGCCCUCAACCUUUCAAAUC